GAUGAACGCUGGCGGCGUGCCUAAUACAUGCAAGUCGAGCGAACAGACGAGGAGCUUGCUCCUCUGACGUUAGCGGCGGACGGGUGAGUAACACGUGGAUAACCUACCUAUAAGACUGGGAUAACUUCGGGAAACCGGAGCUAAUACCGGAUAAUAUAUUGAACCGCAUGGUUCAAUAGUGAAAGACGGUUUUGCUGUCACUUAUAGAUGGAUCCGCGCCGCAUUAGCUAGUUGGUAAGGUAACGGCUUACCAAGGCAACGAUGCGUAGCCGACCUGAGAGGGUGAUCGGCCACACUGGAACUGAGACACGGCCCAGACUCCUACGGGAGGCAGCAGUAGGGAAUCUUCCGCAAUGGGCGAAAGCCUGACGGAGCAACGCCGCGUGAGUGAUGAAGGUCUUCGGAUCGUAAAACUCUGUUAUUAGAGAAGAACAAAUGUGUAAGUAACUAUGCACGUCUUGACGGUACCUAAUCAGAAAGCCACGGCUAACUACGUG
This 497-nucleotide ribosomal RNA is filed under the name uncultured bacterium. RNAcentral's name for it is "partial 16S ribosomal RNA". It matches the Rfam family "Bacterial small subunit ribosomal RNA", at positions 28 to 507 of the family's 1533-position model. The record is from RNAcentral.